UAUCUCUGUGUGCUGCGUAGCGAAUUUCUUCUCAUGGCGAAUCAGAAGAUUGUCUCAUUUUUUGCCCUGCUCUGCCUUCAAGUGCUACCUGAAAGAUGAAGUUGAUGCACAUUGCUGAAGUGAAGGAGACUGCAGGAUCAGGGAUCCAUUUAUCACCAAAAGCAUGUUCUGAUUCAAGGAUUUGAAGAAUCUCACAAGCUAACAAAUGUUUGUAUAAAGCCCAUGUACAGCCUUGAAGCAAUCUCACGGUAUUUGGUAAGUAUUUUUAGUGCUUUGAAUUAGAUAGCACACAGGCCAGCUGAUAAAAUCAGUGCUGCCUGUAGAAGUACCAACUGGCUGUGAUCACUCUUGUCAGUAUUAACAGCAGUAGCUUACAUGUGUAAGCAUAGCAUCUUCCAGCUCUGUUUGUGAAUAUCAUGCUGUUAAUGCUUGAACAAUUUCAAAGGCAACUGUACAAGAAAACACAACCCCUAACUUGUUUUUUUUAUACCCAUAAUGGUUUCUCAAUAUGUUGUGCCCUUGUUUUCUGUUGAUUUAAAGCUAAACAAAAACACAAGUUGGAGAAUCAUCUUGGAAUACAGCAGUCCUUAUUUUAAAAAUCCAUACGAUCUAGCAUAAUUUAAAUGGUGUAUUUAUCAGUUUAAAAUGUCAUUUUACUUUUCCAGUCUUUUGUAUAUGGGCACGUUACUUCUUGUACAUUUUUAAUUUAGAUGUCUGUCAUUUUUCCUUCUGAUAUUUGAAGAUUUGAGCUCUGUGGAUUUUCAUGGUACUCUUCUGAUUAUGUCUUCAUAGUGUUUAAAGUCUGUAUUUUUGUAUGUAGGGAAAAUUGUAGUUUUCUAACACUUACUUUGAUCAAUAUAGUAUGAAAUCAUUUGUGAAGGACUUCCUGUUUAAUAAAUGGACGUAUUAAAGUACUAAAACACUGUCUUCAUCUGUAAAGGCAAUAUAUAAACUCAGUGUUAUGGUUGAUUAGUUGAUUAUCCAGCAACUGCGGUUGCUAAAUGCAUUUUCUGUGCAAGACAAUGUCAUAGAGUUAAAUCAACAGCUGAACAGAAGGCUUCUGCCUGAGGUUUCUGUGGCUCUGGAGGUUUCUGUGGCACACUGCAACAACAAAACAUUGUAUUUUGGGUUUGCAGCGUGGUGCUGUGGACUGAGAAGGGAUUUGAGGACUGAAAUGCGCAGUGAGUGGGUAGAGCUCUGCCAUGUCCUGGGCUGAAGGUUGUGUAUCUUACCUUGGGGUGACCUGUAUUUUGAGUAUUCACAUAGCUUUGGUGCAUAGGUGGCUGAGUGAGUGUUGUUGGAAUGUGUAUUGCGUGCUUGAAAGUCUGCAAAGGAGGAUAAGGUGUGUUUGUGGGGGGGUGUGACAUUAGUUGGGGUGUGGUCAGUGAGCUUUUGUGGAAGGAUUCGCUAUAGAUGGACAUGUGCUUGUGCAUCUCUUCACCAAGACAGGCUGGUUCGUUUUGCCUGUGUAGAGUGGUCGGCAGCGGUAGGUUUUAACAAGUGGUGGUGCAUCUGUUGGACUCACAGAGAUCAGACCUUAAUGUAACUGAUGCUGUUCAAGAAACCAAAUGGUUAGUGCUGGAUGUAAUGGCGUGUUGCUGCUGGCAUGGUGUUCCCUGGUGAAGAGAAGCUUUGUCAGCUGUGGAAUAGAACAUAGCAUGUUUAUUUUGUCUGUCUUUUAAACACUGAAGACUGACUUUAUUCUCCUGGGAAGACUAUGAUUGAUUU
Molecule: long non-coding RNA, 1728 nt
Organism: Gallus gallus (chicken)
Lineage: Eukaryota; Metazoa; Chordata; Aves; Galliformes; Phasianidae
Source: Ensembl